CUCCUUUGACGUUAGCGGCGGACGGGUGAGUAACACGUGGGUAACCUACCUAUAAGACUGGGAUAACUUCGGGAAACCGGAGCUAAUACCGGAUAAUAUUUCGAACCGCAUGGUUCGAUAGUGAAAGGUGGUUUUGCUAUCACUUAUAGAUGGACCCGCGCCGUAUUAGCUAGUUGGUAAGGUAACGGCUUACCAAGGCGACGAUACGUAGCCGACCUGAGAGGGUGAUCGGCCACACUGGAACUGAGACACGGUCAAGACUCCUACGGGAGGCAGCAGUU
Molecule: ribosomal RNA, 281 nt
Filed under: uncultured Staphylococcus sp.
Lineage: Bacteria; Bacillati; Bacillota; Bacilli; Caryophanales; Staphylococcaceae
Description: partial 16S ribosomal RNA
Rfam family: Bacterial small subunit ribosomal RNA
Source: RNAcentral